This 471-nucleotide ribosomal RNA is filed under the name uncultured bacterium. RNAcentral's name for it is "bacterial SSU rRNA". It matches the Rfam family "Bacterial small subunit ribosomal RNA", at positions 46 to 514 of the family's 1533-position model. The record is from RNAcentral.
GUCUACCAUGCAAGUCGAGCGGAUGACGGGAGCUUGCUCCUUGAUUCAGCGGCGGACGGGUGAGUAAUGCCUAGGAAUCUGCCUGGUAGUGGGGGACAACGUUUCGAAAGGAACGCUAAUACCGCAUACGUCCUACGGGAGAAAGCAGGGGACCUUCGGGCCUUGCGCUAUCAGAUGAGCCUAGGUCGGAUUAGCUAGUUGGUGGGGUAAUGGCUCACCAAGGCGACGAUCCGUAACUGGUCUGAGAGGAUGAUCAGUCACACUGGAACUGAGACACGGUCCAGACUCCUACGGGAGGCAGCAGUGGGGAAUAUUGGACAAUGGGCGAAAGCCUGAUCCAGCCAUGCCGCGUGUGUGAAGAAGGUCUUCGGAUUGUAAAGCACUUUAAGUUGGGAGGAAGGGCAGUAAGUUAAUACCUUGCUGUUUUGACGUUACCGACAGAAUAAGCACCGGCUAACUCUGUGCCAGACC